AUGAAGAAUGCGGGAGAGCCCACUAGGUGGCACCGAAGGAGCAAAUCAUGGUUUUGCCGAUCAUGAUAUAAACUCUCAGGUAAAAGGACCGUGUUUGGACA
This 101-nucleotide non-coding RNA is filed under the name Andreesenia angusta. RNAcentral describes it as "Eubacterium angustum Glycine sequence". It matches the Rfam family "Glycine riboswitch aptamer". From Rfam's summary of the family: This family represents the bacterial glycine riboswitch. Glycine riboswitches usually consist of two metabolite-binding aptamers domains with similar structures in tandem. Lineage: Bacteria; Bacillati; Bacillota; Tissierellia; Tissierellales; Gottschalkiaceae. The record is from Rfam by way of RNAcentral.